Molecule: ribosomal RNA, 491 nt
Filed under: uncultured bacterium
Lineage: Bacteria
Description: partial 16S ribosomal RNA
Rfam family: Bacterial small subunit ribosomal RNA
Source: RNAcentral
AGUGAACGCUGGCGGUAGGCCUAACACAUGCAAGUCGAACGGCAGCACAGUAAGAGCUUGCUCUUACGGGUGGCGAGUGGCGGACGGGUGAGGAAUACAUCGGAAUCUACUUUUUCGUGGGGGAUAACGUAGGGAAACUUACGCUAAUACCGCAUACGACCUACGGGUGAAAGCAGGGGAUCUUCGGACCUUGCGCGAUUGAAUGAGCCGAUGUCGGAUUAGCUAGUUGGCGGGGUAAAGGCCCACCAAGGCGACGAUCCGUAGCUGGUCUGAGAGGAUGAUCCGCCCCACGGGAACUGGGCCACGGUCCAGACCCCUGCGGGGGGCAGCGAUGGGGAAUAUUGGAAAAAGGGCGAAAGCCUGAUCCAGCCAACCCGGGGGGGUGAAGAAGGCCUUCGGGUUUUAAAGCCUUUUUUUGGGGAAAAAAAAGCAGCAGGUUAAAACCCCGCUGUUCUGCCGGUACCCAAAAAAAAAGCCCCGGCUAAUUUCGG